RNAcentral lists this microRNA precursor (72 nucleotides) under Oryza sativa (Asian cultivated rice). RNAcentral describes it as "miR2098 stem-loop (osa-MIR2098)". Lineage: Eukaryota; Viridiplantae; Streptophyta; Magnoliopsida; Poales; Poaceae. The record is from miRBase by way of RNAcentral.
CAGUCUUGUGCCAUUCCCGUGGAGGCAGCCGAUGAGGAUUAACGGUUUGUCAAGCGGAGUGCACUUCUAAUG